CGCAAAUGUGAUGCUUACAGUGCAUUAUGCAUGAACUGAGGAACCUAGUUCUCAAGAGGAACCAAAAUUUAAGAGCUCUAAGCCUAUGCACGAUAUUUGGUCUUGGAAAUGCACGACCAUAUUAGAACAUCUUUUACACUAGAGGUUAUCUGAAUUUGUACCAGAAACUUGAUUCAUUCAUGCAGUCUGAUCACACCAGCUAAAUGUCUAACACAAUCGUUCAACAAAUUAAAUGUGGAGGUUCUUUGCGGACGCAGAGUGUACUGCACGCUACUCUUUAUUUGCGCACAUCACAUUCACGCCUGGUGGCAACACUAAACCCACGCUAGGAAGAUAAUGCACUGAAGUAUCUAUAUCGAUGAUUUGCUCGACAACGUGGUCCCCUGAUGCCUCGCAAGCCUAUGAAUAUCUCGGGAGAAGAAAAUGGAUGGGAUCAAGGAGGAAUUUCCAUAUACAACUGAGAGUAGCUAAGCGAGAAGGUAACCCUUGUGACUUUGCGAGUUUGUAAGCUUUGCGUUGCUCUUUAUAGGCACGCAUGCAUUUUUCAUGGCAGUAAAAAACUUGCUGCGCAGACGACAGGACGGAGGAACAUGAGUAGCAUUAUUCGACAUUCAUUUAGCGCGCGCGACAUAUUCAUGCUCAAUUACAGUGGGCGCUGCCAUUCAUUUGAUUUUCACAUGGAAUUCUGAUUCAGUCGGUUAUUGUGAUUGUACCGGUGUACUACACGAU
This 729-nucleotide long non-coding RNA is filed under the name Setaria viridis. RNAcentral's name for it is "long non-coding RNA (SVIR_LNC008520)". Lineage: Eukaryota; Viridiplantae; Streptophyta; Magnoliopsida; Poales; Poaceae. The record is from RNAcentral.